UCACGUGACGCGACGCCACGCGCGCCGGGGCUCGCCCCCGCGCGGCCACGUGACGGGGCCCGCCCCCGCCCGCGCGGCGAGGCGUUUUGGCGGCAAAGCGGCCGCAAAUGGCGGCGGCCUCGCGGCGCUGGGCGCCGGCUGGGCUUUGCCGCUGUCCCUCGAGUCCAGAGUCGAGGAAUCAAUUCGGUUGGAAAAGGCCUCUCAGGUCAUCGAAUCUGACCUAUGACUGAACACCGUGACGUCAACUAGACCGUGGCGCUAAGGGUCGCGUCCGGUCCUUCCUCCCACCUGAGAGCGCCGUGUGGCACGAACCGCUGCUGGACAGGCCAUGGCCCACUCCACCGAGCUUUUGUGGCUUGUUCAUUCCUCACCGUUCUUCCUCUGCAGGAAGUGUGUUAGCCUCAAGAAUGGCACUGAGUUGUCUUCACACCUAGAUCAUCCUGCUUUCUUAAUUGGAAAUGGCAGUGCAGCUUGGCUGUUCAAAUGAAGCAGGUGAGAUCCGGAGGUUCUGGAGGGCCUUAUUGCCCUUGCGUGCUGGGCCAAACACCCCCUCACACGCUGGUGAUGUACUCACAAUAGCGCAAAGCUCCAGUGAUGGACAUUGUCCUUCCCUGCAUCUGCUAAAUUAGCUGAGGAGAUUCCUUCGUCUGUCAAGGGUGUUGGAAGUACUGGAGAUGGGCCUGAGGCACUGAUUCUGGUGAGAAGGAAAACAUGGAUCUGAUGGACGCUGAAUUGGCAUGGAUACAUGUUUUGCAGUCUUCUAGGUUGCACAGGUUGACAUGUGUUGAUGGCUUCACACUCUUCACUUUCCCUCCUUGAGGAAUUGAGGAGGAAAUGUGUUACAGCAGCAAGAGAGCACCCUGCCUGAAGUGAAUCUUUCUCAUAGCUAGCCAGCACUGCCUGAAGCUGGACAUUUCACAUCAUCUGAAAAAUGAGGAAUACUAGUACUUUACACAAACUUAAAUUAGGUGUAACAGUCUUUUGACUGGAACAGGCUACCAGCAGGCCCCUGAACAUGCCUUCCAGUCUUGCACUGACCCAGGUGUGACUCAAUAUCCCAUACCCACUGCCUUAUCUUCUAUGACCACGGGAUUGCUUUGAUGUUCUCUUUUUUUUUUUUUUUGUCACAAAAGACAAAUGGCACUACCUACUGCUUGUAUUCAGUUGAAAGCUGAGGUGUAUGGUGAAAUGAACACUAAAUCAGAGCUGGGAAGAAAGGAGGUUCUUCCAGAAAUGCAGAAAUGUUAGUCUGCAAGUGUAGACAUUCACAGUGAGAACACUGAAUAUGUAACAUUUUGGAGACAAGUCUGGGAAUCUGGUCCAAAAAUGACCACAUUUUGGGUCAUAGCAGUGAACCCAAAGUGAUAUGUUUCUUGUUUUCCAUACAAGCAUCCAAGUAGAUAUCUUAUUUGCGACUUGUAAGCCUGAAACAUUUUUAGGUUUCUUGACUUUUUUUGCACAGGAAAUCCAUUGUGUUACAAGCAGAAGAAGAGAAAACUUAGCUUUUCCAUUUAAGGUUAAUGUAGCACCAGGUAAAUCUGGUUUGUUUGUAUCCCUCACUACCAAACCACCUAUAACACCAGUACGACUCAGUCAUGCAAAUGCUAGAAACAAUGGCACGAGGACCUAUUUAUUCUUUCUCAAUCACUUAAUAUAUCUGUAGGAUCUAAAAUACCUUCUCUGGAUAAUUCUGUCCUAUACUGUGCUGUUUGCAAUUAUUUUCACUUAAGUGUGAGCCACAAUACCCCAAUUGGACCCUGAUAGUCUGUCCUUGCUUUGGCUUGCUGUAUUGUUUCUGCCUUGACCAGGGGGUGUUCUGAAUUGAGCCCAGGCUGGGGAGGAAGGAGAAAGGGAGUAUGGGUUUCUCAAUCAUGCCAAAGGUUAGCAUGAUUAGGGUAGAGUUAGUGUUGUUUUGUUCUCCUCAGGAUCAAGCCUAAAGUAACCCAUCCCUCAGUUGCACUACCCUGAAGUGCACUUGUACGUGAGCCUCCAGGGGCUUUGUGCAAGGGAGGACUUCUGUCUUUAAUCAUGAGUCACAGGCAGAGAAUUGCUAAUCUUCUAUCUGAGAGACCCAGAAAAUAAUUAUUAAGUGUAAGGAAUGACCACAAACAGUGGUGAAAAACAAAGGAGUUAUUUUUUUUCUUGACAACAGUGAGAAUGUGAUGACAGCAACUGAUUCAAGCGUGGCAAUGGCCUGAGAGAGGGGAAAAUAAUUAAGACCAGCUAUGAGGCCUUGUUGCUCAUCCUGUAUUUGACUCCUGACAGGAGCUACUCUGGUGGAUAUAGCUCAUGGAAGAGGAGAGCUGUUGCUUACUGGUGACAGGAGAAGGAGAUUAUGCAGAGAAGAGGUUCUUUUCAGAUACCUGUUUUCUUCAUGGACAUGUGGGGCAGGCUAUGUGACGUGGAAGAAUGUGAAUAUAAAAGAGAGGACGCUUACAUUGCAGAAGAAGAAACAUUGAUUGUAAUUGUAAAUAUCGUCAAGUAAUCCACCUGCUGUUAAAAUGGAAAAUAUAGAGAAGAGAGAAGCAGAUGAGGAAGAUGCAUGUAUUAGGAAGGACAAUUGAAAGGAGGGAUGAAAAAAACGAACUCAACCAAAACAGUCCAAGAACAAAGACUGUGAAGAUGGUGAGAAAGACCAAAAAAAGGAUGGAAGACUGGAAGGAAAAGGUCCUGACUUUUACACCAGUUCAAAGACAGAAUUUUUUUGUCAAGAAGACCUUAUUGUUUGGGUGUGCUAGAAAUAAAGAUUUAAGAUAAGGGCUUAUAGCACACUUUGCCACUUUACCCAAGCUGCUAUCGCUGCCUAACUGUGUCAGUGCACUCACAUGCCAACACCCAGGCUGGUAAAUGGAUGUGGGGUAUAAAACUGUUCCCAGGAUGACGUACUGUGGGACUCCUCCUGAGAGAGCUUCCCAGAAUGACAACAAACCAUCAAUUACUGCGCUUUGAGAACAAUUUUACAAAUGUUGUGCACCUACAGGGCUGCUACUUAUCUCUGGAAUGCACUGACGUGACUUACUUAGUAAAAUGCUGUGCAGAACAAUGUCAAAAGCUUGUCAUUGUCAUGAUGCAUCAUAUCUGCUAUUUGCACUUAUUUGUUAAAGCAAUUAUCCUGUCAGAGAAUGAGAUUAGCAUCAAUUGGUACAAUUUUUCUCAUGACUAACCCAUUUCAACUAGUUUUUAAUAAUUAUCAUAAUAUUCCAGGUAUUUACCAAUUUUUUAUUUAAUAAUUUGUUCCAUUUCAGGGGAUAAAAGGUUGACAAUAUAAAAUGCUCUGUGUUCUCUAUUCUCUCUUCUAAAAAUAAAUAUUACAUUUAUACUUUUCUACAGCUUGAACCUUCCUUGCUUGCUGUUAUUUCUUGAAAAUCGUCAUUAAUGAUUCAAACAUUAUUUCAGCUUAUUCUCUGAACAUUCAUGGUUAAUUUCAUCACAGCCCACUCACUUAACCAACUCUAACUUUUUC
Passer domesticus (house sparrow) is the source of this 3463-nucleotide RNA transcript. It is a transcript of the gene named glycoprotein hormones, alpha polypeptide, with no coding region annotated. The transcript is spliced from 2 exons. The record is from RefSeq and is a predicted model, not a curated record. Lineage: Eukaryota; Metazoa; Chordata; Aves; Passeriformes; Passeridae.